This 228-nucleotide long non-coding RNA is filed under the name Coffea arabica (coffee). RNAcentral describes it as "long non-coding RNA (CARA_LNC001816)". Lineage: Eukaryota; Viridiplantae; Streptophyta; Magnoliopsida; Gentianales; Rubiaceae. The record is from RNAcentral.
AUUCCACGAUUUGAAACCAAUAUAAAUAUUGCUAUUUCUCCCUAGAUAACUGCCAUAUACCUAACAUAUGCUAAAACCAAAAGAUGGACUUCAAUUCCAUGGUCAACAGAAUACUAGAGAUGGAUGAUAUCAAAAUAGAGGAGUUCUUCAGUAUGAGCCAAAAGCAAUCCACAAGUUCAUCCCAAACCUGUACAAUAAAACCAAGAAAAAUUUGAAAUCAGAGAAAUA